CUGCAACUCGCCUGCAUGAAGUCGGAAUUGCUAGUAAUCGCAGAUCAGCAUGCUGUGGUGAAUACGUUCCCGGGCCUUGUACACACCGCCCGUCACACCAUGGGAGUCGGUAACACCCAAAGUUGGUAGUCUAACCGCAAGGAGGACGCCGCCUAAGGUGGGAUUGAUGACUGGGGUGAAGUCGUAACAAGGUACC
This 196-nucleotide ribosomal RNA is filed under the name uncultured bacterium. RNAcentral's name for it is "partial 16S ribosomal RNA". It matches the Rfam family "Bacterial small subunit ribosomal RNA", at positions 1305 to 1500 of the family's 1533-position model. The record is from RNAcentral.